Magnolia sinica is the source of this 1434-nucleotide RNA transcript. It is a transcript of the gene named ubiquitin-like domain-containing CTD phosphatase, with no coding region annotated. The transcript is spliced from 7 exons. Lineage: Eukaryota; Viridiplantae; Streptophyta; Magnoliopsida; Magnoliales; Magnoliaceae. The record is from RefSeq and is a predicted model, not a curated record.
GCAUAUUCUCUUCCCCCUUCUCUCACCUUCCCUUCGUUUCCUUUCGAAGAGGGGUAUUAGGCGGGGGUUUGGAGGUGAAAGAGCGGCUGCGAUCAUGGCCUCAUCUUCAACGGUCUCUGUGGAAGAGGGGUUGGAGGAACUAACCCUGACCGUCCGAUGGAGCGGCAAGGAAUACACGGUCCGCGUCUGCGCCGACGACAGCGUUGGCGAACUGAAGCGCCGUAUCUGCGAGGCUACCAACGUUCUUCCCAAGCGUCAAAAGCUCCUCUACCCCAAACUCGGCCCUAAGCUCGCGGACGACUCGCUCCUUCUUUCCCAACUCAACCUCAAAUCCUCUCUCAAGAUGACUAUGAUCGGUACUGUGGAAGAUGAUAUUAUCGUGGACCAAGUGGAUGCUCCGGAGAUAGUUGAUGAUUUUGAACUUGGGCAAGAUGAAGUUGUUGACAUUAAAGAUAAAGAGGUCAACAAGCAGAAAUUAAGGCGCCGAGUUAAUCAAUACAAGAUCGAACUUCUUCAUCCAUGUCGCAGCGGAAAGAAGCUUCUUGUUCUGGACAUCGACUACACUCUAUUCGAUCACCGGUCCACAGCUGAGAACCCACUUGAGCUUAUGCGGCCAUAUCUUCAUGAGUUUUUGUCUGCUGUUUAUGCUGAGUAUGAUAUCAUUAUAUGGUCCGCAACCAGUAUGAAAUGGGUUGAAUUGAAGAUGGGUCAGCUGGGGGUUCUCAAUAAUCCCGACUACAAGAUAACAGCUCUUCUUGAUCACUUAGCCAUGAUUACGGUGCAAACUGAUUCUCGGAUAUUCGAUUGCAAACCACUUGGCUUGAUAUGGGCUCAAUUUCCAGAGUACUACGAUUCAAGAAAUACCAUAAUGUUUGAUGACCUCCGGAGGAAUUUUGUGAUGAACCCACAGAACGGUCUGACAAUCAGGCCUUUCAGGAAAGCCCAUUUGAACCGUGGCAGUGAUCGUGAGCUGGUGAAGCUCACACAGUAUUUGCUUGCUAUAGCCGAACUCUCCGACCUAAGUCAACUUGAUCAUAGUAAUUGGGAGUCGUUUUCAGAGGACAACGAUGCUAAGCGGCGCAGACACAGUUGAAUAGACGUGAGAGGUUAGAAGGCCAAAAUACAAUUUCACCAAAUUUAUUGGCUAGGGUGCAUCCUAUUUAUGACCAUCAAAACCAUGGACCCUCUUGUGGAUGAAACGUAGCUGGAAGAUAUCAAUGAUAAGAUGAUCUCAGCCUUAGAAAUCACCUGUCACUUUCGGACCUGUGAUCAUUUUCUAUUUUAACGUCCAUUUGAGUAUGACAACUUAGUUUGUAAGAAACACAGUUGUGUAGAUCUAUGUGGGCUGUAUGGAUGGAUAGUAAAUGCUUUGCUAGUGGACAUCUUUCUACUGUAAAUAUGAGACAACUGUCAGUGAUUUGUGGCUUUUUAUUA